Molecule: unclassified non-coding RNA, 407 nt
Filed under: Acacia obtecta
Lineage: Eukaryota; Viridiplantae; Streptophyta; Magnoliopsida; Fabales; Fabaceae
Description: partial external transcribed spacer
Source: RNAcentral
GGGUGGUGUUUGGAUCGUCCCUGCCGGCUGGCUCCGUGCCCGUCCACCGAACGGUCGGCAGGCGAUCCGCGUCGGUCGCGCGGGGUGGCAUGGUUCCCCUGAGGCCGGUUCUUGUGUUGCCUACCCUUCAAGGGGAAGCAGGCCUCCUGACGGUUGAAAGCCUCCAUCCGGCGCCCUCCAACGGGCGCAGGAGGACAACGUAGCACCCCCCGCGUUCCACCGAACCCUCGCCGGUCGCGUGGCACGCGGGGACGUGCGACGCUCUCGGACCCAGCGCACGCCGUGGGCGAGGACUCACGUCCCGGUCCCAAGAGAAAGCCUCGAUACAACGCAUGACGGCCGCUCCCGCCCCCCGACCGCCCCGGCGGCGAGGGGGCGCGGCGCGGCGUCGCGGAGGAAUGCUACCU